AGCACCCAAAUCUUUCAGCUGGGUCCUCCGAGCGUGGAGAAUGGAGUACUGCACUUAAGCCCUGCUUGCAAGAGAACAAAGCGGAGUGAUGUAAAAUAGAAAAUGAGACAAGCAAACCUUUGGUGAUUGAAGAGGAGGAAGGAAAAUGAAAGAGAAAAAGCUGAAGAGUGGGAAAAAGAUAAAAUAAAAUGAAUUUUGGGGAUUCCACUGGAGAUGGCAUGAGCUAGUUGAUAGCCUAAUCAUUUUGGGUUAGUGAUACAGAGCACAGCAGCUGCACAGGGACAAAGACUUAUUGUAUCUGACAUGUAUGGCCGGACCAGACUUUUCUGGUGCUUGGUUCCACUAUGUGCAUCAGGAACUGGUUUGGGUGAGCAGUCCAUAGUGCCACGUGUUGGGACGCAGCACGUGCCUUGCACCCAGCAUCUGCAGCACAUGCCUGGUUGGAUAUCUGAGCCAAGGGAGGAAGCGCUGCUGGAUCUGGGACCGGCUCCAUACACGAGACUUGGAGAGUCACUGCCACAGCAGGGCUGGGCUGCAGACAGAUAUCUUACUUUACAUCAGCAAAGAUCUCCUUGCACCUGGAGGAAAGCCAAGCACCGGGGAGAGAGAGCAGAGGAUGAGAUACUGCUGCACAUCAGAACGGCCUUGAAACGAAUGUCGUGUAUCCUCAGCUUUGAGAACUGAAUUCCAUGGGUUGUAAUUGAAUCCUUUGUCAGACCCAUGGGGCUCAGUUCUUCAGCUUGGAUAUUUCUGUCUUCACAUACACGGGAGAUCAAAGAAGCACUUGAUCAUGCGCUGACUCUUCCGGAUUCUGAUAGCAGCAAAUAGGAAAGAGAAAGAAUAACUGAUGUGAAUCACUCUGACAGGGAGGUUUCACUGCAAAGACCAGGCUCUCUCAUGUCGAGUAGCUGCGCAGUGAUUGAACCUCUCCGUGGCUGAUAGUCUGUCCCUGCAUUGCUGCUCGCUGGUUAAUUCAACUCUCCUCUCAGUUUUAUCGAAGUUACAUAUCAAGUGCUGAGAUGAUGCUGACUGACUUAUGCUUCCCAAAAAUUGUGUGGUGCUGCUGAAUGUGGCUCUGCUCCCACAUGGGACCAGCAACACCCCAGCCCUGCCAAGUCUACCCACUGUUGGUCUGCUGCAGCCUCCUGUCUGGGAUCACUGCUGCACAGCUACUGUUUGCUCUUUUUUGGCCCCCUUGAGGUGGACCCAUUCAAGUUGUGGGCUGAAAAAGUUUGUGUUUCUUCCUUGGAAGAUCUGUGUUAAAGUUUAUUUUCUUUCAGGCGUCAGGAAAAUAAAAUUUAUGGUCUUCAAACAUGUAAAGAGGUAUAAUUACCAACGAGAUUUCUACUUCAUUCCUGCAAUAAUAACCCUUCCUAAAUUACAUUUUUCAAACUCAGUAAAAUGGAUCAGUCACUGAUCUCAUCCCUGUGGUGCAAUGCUGUUAAAAGCACAGGAAUAUUAAAAUCCCACAGGUGCAGGAGGAGCGUGUUCAGCUAAGUAGUUUAAAGCUGCUGUGUGCCUUUUAUUCUGAAAAUGUAUUUACACUAAAAAUAAUCAGAUGUAAUCACUGUUGCCUGUGGAUACAGAUGUACCUUUGUACCGAUGUGCUUUUCAUAUAAAUUUUAUUCCAGGGUUUGAAGGGUUUCUUUGUGGCUGUCUGAAACAUAUCAUGCUGCCCAGUUGUGAGACGACGGAUCUUGGAAGGACUCACCAGUCCCACCAGCUCCUGCUGGGAGAUAUCCAUUAAACAAGAAGAAGGAGAAACAUACACAAACGAAAGCGAAAUUCUGAAGUUUCAUUUCUGCUGUACACCCUGUCAAAGAGAGGGAAUUAAAUUGGAGGUGAGAGUUAGCAAAAUCUGCAAAAGAAGAGAGUGAGGUAGCAGCUGCACAGAAUGCCCGAGGCGGGCAUCUGCUGGCAGGGCUGCAGCAGCCACCUCUGGGGCAAAGUCCAGCCUGCAGGCACUGAGGCAGCACAGGGGAUGUGUGUGUGAUGGCAGCCUCACAAGGCCACGGAUGAAAUCAAGAUAGCCUUUGGUACGGCAGUUUUGCAGUCCUAUCCCUAAAGCACAGUGUUUGUAACGCUGGUUUUGCUCAGCAAUUUACCAUAAGUUGUGAACUAACAAUAGUACUGCUGGUGUCUAGCUGGAAGUACUGGAAUUUCUAGUCAGCUCUUAAAUCCAGCCUGCCCUCCAGCCCUCUGUGCUGACCACUCUGUGUGCUCUUCCUUUGCUGUGGGCUCCUGUAGUCCUUUUGAUCCUCCCUUGCCCAACAUGACACAGCAUUCUCUUUCUGGAUACUCCUGGGAUCUUUUCUUUAAACCGCCCGGUUAAUCUUUCAAGAGCACUCCUGCAGAAUUAAAAUUAUUUUUAACACGUGGCUUCAAACCAACGUGCCUUCUGCCUGCCUACCUGCACAGCCUUGCAGUACACACACAGACCCCUCUGCAGUCUGAGCCAGGCAAUGCUCAGGCACCCCAGCAUGCCCAGGACCUGUGCUGCGAUUCCCAGUGUGCCCCCAGGUAUGCGAAGUGCUGGUUGAUAUGAUACCCAAAUUCUCUCAGCUUCUCCUGUAUCCAGGCUUAUGAAACUGACCUCUUUAAUUCAGGCCUCCUCCUGUUUAAUUUCAGAGUGAAAUGUUGAUUUGUCAUUGUAAUUUUUUUUUUCUCUUUACAGAGUCAUUCAGGUGAAUUCAGCUGUAUUCGUUGCUGCUGUAAACUUGAAACUCAAUUUUGGGCCAAGUAAAGCAUUUGCUAG
Molecule: long non-coding RNA, 2755 nt
Filed under: Gallus gallus (chicken)
Lineage: Eukaryota; Metazoa; Chordata; Aves; Galliformes; Phasianidae
Description: lncRNA (ENSGALG00010012858.1)
Rfam family: mir-146 microRNA precursor family (bases 660-753)
Source: RNAcentral